UACGGAGGAUGCAAGCGUUAUCCGGAAUGAUUGGGCGUAAAGCGUCCGCAGGCGGCUAUGUAAGUCUGCUGUUAAAGAGUCUGGCUCAACCAGAUAAAGGCAGUGGAAACUACAUGGCUAGAGUGCGUUCGGGGCAGAGGGAAUUCCUGGUGUAGCGGUGAAAUGCGUAGAGAUCAGGAAGAACACCGGUGGCGAAAGCGCUCUGCUAGGCCGCAACUGACACUGAGGGACGAAAGCUAGGGGAGCGAAUGGG
Molecule: ribosomal RNA, 253 nt
Filed under: uncultured bacterium
Lineage: Bacteria
Description: partial 16S ribosomal RNA
Rfam family: Bacterial small subunit ribosomal RNA
Source: RNAcentral